This 88-nucleotide transfer RNA is filed under the name Haloferax sp. CBA1150. Its description in RNAcentral is "tRNA-OTHER". It matches the Rfam family "tRNA". Rfam says of the family: Transfer RNA (tRNA) molecules are approximately 80 nucleotides in length. Their secondary structure includes four short double-helical elements and three loops (D, anti-codon, and T loops). Further hydrogen bonds mediate the characteristic L-shaped molecular structure. tRNAs have two regions of fundamental functional importance: the anti-codon, which is responsible for specific mRNA codon recognition, and the 3' end, to which the tRNAs corresponding amino acid is attached (by aminoacyl-tRNA synthetases). tRNAs cope with the degeneracy of the genetic code in two manners: having more than one tRNA (with a specific anti-codon) for a particular amino acid; and 'wobble' base-pairing, i.e. permitting non-standard base-pairing at the 3rd anti-codon position. Lineage: Archaea; Methanobacteriati; Methanobacteriota; Halobacteria; Halobacteriales; Haloferacaceae. RNAcentral also lists the same sequence under 1 other name. The record is from RNAcentral.
GAAAGGGUCGCUCAGCCUGGUAGAGCAUCCAUCCUUGCGAUGGGUGGCCUGAAAGAUGGCCCCGGUGGUUCGAAUCCAUCCCCUUUCG